GUCCAGACUCCUACGGGAGGCAGCAGUGGGGAAUAUUGGACAAUGGGGGAAACCCUGAUCCAGCGACGCCGCGUGAGUGAAGAAGUAUUUCGGUACGUAAAGCUCUAUCAGCAGGAAAGAAAAUGACGGUACCUGACUAAGAAGCCCCGGCUAACUACGUGCCAGCAGCCGCGGUAAUACGUAGGGGGCAAGCGUUAUCCGGAUUUACUGGGUGUAAAGGGAGCGUAGACGGCAGCGCAAGUCUGGAGUGAAAUGCCGGGGCCCAACCCCGGAACUGCUCUGGAAACUGUGAAGCUGGAGUGCAGGAGAGGUAAGCGGAAUUCCUGGUGUAGCGGUGAAAUGCGUAGAUAUUAGGAGGAACACCAGUGGCGAAGGCGGCCUGCUGGACUGUAACUGACGUUGAGGCUCGAAAGCGUGGGUAUCGAACAGGAUUAGAUACCCGGGUAA
Molecule: ribosomal RNA, 447 nt
Filed under: uncultured bacterium
Lineage: Bacteria
Description: bacterial SSU rRNA
Rfam family: Bacterial small subunit ribosomal RNA
Source: RNAcentral